RNAcentral lists this long non-coding RNA (1248 nucleotides) under Triticum aestivum (bread wheat). Its description in RNAcentral is "long non-coding RNA (TAES_LNC014414)". Lineage: Eukaryota; Viridiplantae; Streptophyta; Magnoliopsida; Poales; Poaceae. The record is from RNAcentral.
AUUGUUGCUGCUGCACCAGAUCGAGGAGGAAGAAGACCUGCAAAUAAGCAAUAACUAGCAAUGCACAAGCAUGAAUUCAUGGAAGGACGGAUGCAAGGACAAACAUCCAGCAUACUGUUUCUUAAUGCCCCAACUACUUAAAAACCCAUGGUAGUUCUAACCAUAUUAAACUAAAGGACAAAGUGAAGUCAUGAUGAAUUGAUAGUUCCAUCUUAUAAAGCUUUCUGUUUAGCAUAUCCUAAAUCACAGUCUAUCUACCAAUAUAUGAACUCUUUAGUUUUCAGAACCGAGGCUCACAUAUUUGGGCUGAUUUGUACACAGCCAAGAAAAACUUCUUACAAAUAAAUUCAUGGAAGCAUAUCAUCCUUUCAGUCCCUCACCCAUAUCUUCUAGUAGUAUUACAGACAAACUAAAUUUUACAUAGGGAGGUUCAGAUUAUCUUCACUGUAUUUUUAGUAUUUUUUUAAUUGAGACAAAAUAAAUGCUAACAUCAAUGAAAACAAGACUUGAACAGAAAUAGCUAUUGAAGAAACACGUUUAUAAGAUAGAAUGAAAAUGAUUUACACCACAACAUAUAGUUCACAUGUACUGGAGCUAUCACAGAGACUACAGAACACACAUAAUCACACAUAUGCGAACAGGGUACUACUCCAUGGUUCAGGUUACACUAAUAAACAAAAUUAUACAAGUGACUAGACUAGUAUCACAGAUCUACAGAGUAGUACUAAACAACUAAAAAUAAGUAGUAGAAGUAACUAGUACAGGAAGCAAGUACUCUUAAAAUCUGAAUCUUACAGACUUAUACAACACCGAGAAAUUCAGAGAAGAAAGGGAGAAAGAAAGAUUGCAGGAGGAGGUCGAGGAUUAUGCAAAUUAACUGCCAUGUUCCUAAUGGACCUCUGCUUGUACCCAAAUUUGGGACUCGUUCACUUUCAUAUAUACAAAACUGGGAGGUAGCUGUCUGUCCUGUUCCAAAAUUUGGGAGUCGUUGUUCAAGCAUCCUAUAAUACAACAAUAUAUGCCCAGACAAGCAGUUGAAAAAUACUUAGAAGGAACUUUCACUUAAAAAGACACCCAGCCUAUAAUACUAGCUAUACAAGCCCAGACAAUGUGUUCAAAAAUUCAGACAAUGUGUCCAAUGAUACUAGCUAUAUUGUGACGCCCGGAUAAUCAAGCUACAGUAAACCUAUGCUAAUGGUGCCACGUCACCUCGGUUACUAUUGAUAAACUCGAGCUAGUUAAAAAAAU